RNAcentral lists this long non-coding RNA (16999 nucleotides) under Lactuca sativa (garden lettuce). Its description in RNAcentral is "long non-coding RNA (LSAT_LNC004799)". Lineage: Eukaryota; Viridiplantae; Streptophyta; Magnoliopsida; Asterales; Asteraceae. The record is from RNAcentral.
UUAUUGGAUAUGGUUCGCUCUAUGAUGAGUCGUGCUUCACUACCUAUCUCUUUUUGGGGGUAUGCCUUAGAGACUGCCGCCCAUAUCCUUAACCGAGUCCCUACUAAGAAGGUUGCCAAAACACCUCACGAGAUGUGGACAGGGAAAGCUCCCUCGUUGGCACAUAUCAAGGUUUGGGGUUGCGAGGCUUUCGUAAGACGAGAUACUCACGACAAGCUUGAACCUCGAAGUGAGCGAUGUAUUUUCAUCGGCUACCCGCAGACAUCCUUUGGAUAUCUCUUCUAUAGACCGAAGGACAAUGUUGUCUUCGUUGCGAGGAGAGGAGUUUUCCGAGAGCGAGAACUCAUAAGCCAAGGAGACAGUGGGAGGCAAAUCGAGCUUGAAGAGAUUCAAGAGUCGAUAGAUGAAGGAACCUCUACCGCUGGCACUCAACCCGAGGAGGAAACUCCGGUUGAACCGAUUGACGAAUCCUUACCUCUUAGACGUUCCGAUAGAGUUAGAGUUCUACCCCAGUUUUAUGGUUUUCAUAUUACUACCGAAGGGGACACGUAUAUUAGUGAUGGUACACUAGUAAAUCUUGAUGAACCUAAUAGCUAUAAGGAAGCCAUGGCAGGCCCGGAGUCUGCAAAAUGGAAAGAGGCAAUGGAUAGCGAGAUCCAAUCCAUGUAUGAUAACCAAGUUUGGAAUUUGGUUGAUUAUGUGCCCGGACGUAAGACCGUUGGGUGCAAAUGGAUCUUCAAGAAGAAGACCGACGUGGAUGGAAACGUACACACAUAUAAAGCGCGAUUGGUUGCGAAGGGCUUUACUCAAACUCCCGGAGUUGACUAUGAUGAGACCUUCUCACCAGUUGCGAAGAUUAAAUCUAUUAGAGUGAUGCUAGCUAUUGCCGCAUUUCAUGAUUAUGAGAUUUGGCAAAUGGAUGUCAAGACCGCUUUCCUUAACGGGAAGUUGGCUGAGGAUGUUUACAUGGCUCAGCCAGAGGGGUUUGUGGAUCCGAAGCAUCCGAAUAGAGUGUGUAAGCUUGAGAAGUCCAUUUAUGGACUUAAGCAAGCGUCUCGCAGAUGGAAUCUUUGCUUCGAUGAGAAAGUCAAAGAGUUUGGAUUUGUACGAAGCGAAGACGAAUCUUGUGUAUAUGUCAAAGCCAGUGGGAGUAUAGUAAGCUUCCUCGUUCUAUAUGUCGAUGACAUAUUACUCAUAGGAAACGACAUCCCGACUCUGCAGGAGGUUAAGUCCUGGCUCGGGAAGUGCUUCGCUAUGAAGGACCUCGGAGAGGCUUCUUAUAUUUUGGGAAUAAGGAUAGUGAGAGAACGAAGUAAGAGACUAAUAGGACUUAGUCAGAACACUUACUUAGAUAAAGUACUGAAACGUUUUAGUAUGGAAAACUCGAAGAAGGGAGAAUUACCGAUACAAAGUAAUGCCAAGUUGAGUAAGACUCAAAGUCCGAGUACCGAAGCUGAAAUAGCAGAAAUGAGCCGAGUACCAUACGCUUCCGCAGUUGGCUCAAUCAUGUACGCUAUGACUUGUACUCGCCCUGAUGUAGCCUUCGCUUUGAGCAUGGUUAGCAGAUAUCAAGGGAAUCCUGGCAAAGCACAUUGGAUUGCGGUGAAGAAUAUCCUUAAGUACCUUCGGAGGACGAAGGAAUGGUUCUUAGUCCUCGGAGGGAGUGAUGACUUGAAGGUGUGAGGGUAUAGUGACGCCAGCUUUCAGACCGACAGGGACAACUACCGUUCGCAGUCGGGCUGGGUCUUUACCCUNGUCUUUACCCUGAAUGGAGGAGCAGUGUAACGCCCGUAGAUCCGGGCGAGUCAAUUUAGAGACGAUAAGCAUCAAAAAUGAUUUUUUUAUGGAAUAUUAUUUAGAAGGAUUAAUCUUAACCAAGUUGUUGUAUAUGUCACAAGGUUUUCGUGCAUAAAAAGAACGUCAAAAUCCUAGUUAUAACGAAGAAGUUAUGACCUGUCGAAGUUUCGCGACAGAACCGGCAUGGAUAUCUAUCCUUAGUGGUCUAAAUAAGAAUUGAAGAUCUCAUCGAUAGUAGUCCAACGAUAACAAGACAGACGAAAACUGAGUUCAGAUGAAGGAGUUGUGAGUUUAUAACAGAGUUUUCUUGUCCCGGCCUACUAAAGAUAAUAUAUAAGUAAUAUACUUAUAAUAUAUUAAAAAUAAAGUCAAAAUUAGCCAAUGGAGUCUAAACGAGAGUUGUACAGCAUAAUCUCACCUUCGCGUCGAUAUAAAGAACGUCGAAAACGGAGUUCGUAUGCGAAAGUUAUGAAUUUCUGAAGUUCGGGGCGCGAAACCCCAAAACUGUCAGAGACCACGACGUGGCAAGCAGUGCCACGACGUGGCAAGCAGUGCCACGACGUGGCAAGUCUCCUGAUAGCUCCGGGAGUCCCCCAAAUGCAACUUGGGAUGACGCAUGCAGUGACGAUCAAGCCCACGACAUGGUAAAAGGAUCCCACGACGUGGCAAGGGCCAAAUUUGCCCUAUAAAUACUUUUGAAGGGCCAGCCGACUAUGGUUGCCCCAUCCCUUCUCUCCCACUCCCGAUACACCCUCUAAGCCCUAUUUUAACCCCCCGAUGCCGCGGUAUCAACCCCGAGACCCGAAGCAAGUCCCGAAGCACCGAAGAUCCCGAGACGAAAAGAGUUUCCGAGCCGAAGCUCUGCCUGCGAGAAACCCGGUGUGUGAAGUGAUCCCGGUUUCACCGAAGAAUACUACUUCUACAAGCCGUAGUGCUGUCCGAUCAUCUUCUGAUCAAGUGAGUGUAUACUACCUUUCAUAAACACGAUUAUAAUACAAGUAUUGUUUGAAUGUAUUAAGUAUAUGUUUGGUGUGAGUGUAUAGUCACUUUCGUCUUACACAUAGAUAUGAAGUAUUUUAUAAAAUACGUGCUAUGUGUAUAUAUAUAGUUGUUUAUAUGUGUGAGUGUGUGGUCACUUUCUUCUAACACAUAAAUAUUAAGUAUUUGCUAUGAAAUACGUGCUAUGUGUUUAUAUAUUGUUGUUUAUUUGAGAUGUUGGUGGAAUACAUGAACUAUAUAGGUUUUAAUGAGUUAAACUGUAUAUUUAUUUUGUAACUACAAAUAUGUUGGGUAGGACAUGGGUAGAUGAGAUUCGUGAGUAUGGAUCAAAUCAGGAGGUUAGUUAUAGAUCCGUGAGUAUGGAUCAGGUAGUUUUAGAUCCGUGAGUAUGGAUAAGGGUAAAAGGUUAGUUUUAGAUCUGUGAGUAUGGAUCAGGUUAAAAGGUUAGUUUUAGAUCCGUGAGUAUGGAUCAGGUAGUUUUAGAUCCGUGAGUAUGGAUCAGGGGAAAAAGGUAGUUUUAGAUCCGUGAGUAUGGAUCAGGUUAAAAGGUUAGUUUUAGAUCCGUGAGUAUGGAUCAGGUAGUUUUAGAUCCGUGAGUAUGGAUCAGGGGAAAAGGGUAGUUUUAGAUCCGUGAGUAUGGAUCAGGUUAAAAGGUUAGUUUUAGAUCCGUGAGUAUGGAUCAGGUAGUUUUAGAUCCGUGAGUAUGGAUCAGGGGAAAAGGUUAGUUUUAGAUCCGUGAGUAUGGAUCAGGGGAAAAGGUUAGUUUUAGAUCCGUGAGUAUGGAUCAGGCUAAAAGGUUAGUUUUAGAUCCGUGAGUAUGGAUCAGGUAGUUUUAGAUCCGUGAGUAUGGAUCAGGGGAAAAGGUUAGUUUUAGAUCCGUGAGUAUGGAUCAGGGGAAAAGGUUAGUUUUAGAUCCGUGAGUAUGGAUCAGGUAGUUUUAGAUCCGUGAGUAUGGAUCAGGGGAAAAGGUUAGUUUUAGAUCCGUGAGUAUGGAUCAGGUUAAAAGGUUAGUUUUAGAUCCGUGAGUAUGGAUCAGGUAGUUUUAGAUUCGUGAGUAUGGAUCAGGUUAAAAGGUUAGUUUUAGAUCCGUGAGUAUAGAUUAGAUCAAAAGAUUGGAUUUAGAUCCGAGAAUGUGGAAUAGGAAAAGAGAUAAACUUGUUAUUAAUCCGGGAGUAUGGAUUAAGACAUAGUUAAUUGUCCCUAGUCCGGGAGUAUGGAUUAGGCACAAUUUAGAUCCGGGAGUAUGGAUUAGAGCAGGAUUUAGGUAUAGUAAAUUGUCCCUAGUCCGGGAGUACGGAUUGGGCACAGUUUUGGAUCCGGGAGUAUGGAUCAGACCAAUAGGUAAACUUGUUAUUAAUCCGGGAGUAUGGAUUAAGACAUAGUUAAUUGUCCCUAGUCUGGGAGUAUGGAUUUGGCAUAGUUUUGGAUUCGGGAGUAUGGAUCAGACCAAUAGGUAAACUUGUUAUUAAUCCGGGAGUAUAGAUUAAGACAUAGUUAAUUAUCCCUAGUCCAGGAGUAUGGAUUUGGCAUAGUUUUAGAUCCGGGAGUAUGGAUCAAACCAAUAGGUAAACUUGUUAUUAAUCUGGGAGUGUGAAUUAAGACAUAGUUAAUUGUCCCUAGUCCGAGAGUAUGGAUUAGCCACAGUUUUAGAUCCGGGAGUAUGGAUCAGACCAAUAGGUAAACUUGUUAUUAAUCUGGGAGUAUGGAUUAAGACAUAGUUAAUUGUCCCUAGUCCGGGAGUAUGGAUUGGGCACAGUUUUAGAUCCGGGAGUAUGGAUCAGACCAAGAGAUUAGUUUAGAUCCGGGAGUAUGGAUUAGACCAAGAGGUUAGUUUUAGGUCCGAGAGUAUGGAUCAGGUGGAGAGAUUAGUUUAGAUCCGUAAGUAGGGAUCAGAUAAAGAGGAAAAGUUUAGAUACGAGAGUUUAGAUCGUGUCGUUGUGAGGAUCGAUGGGGUGGGAUAAGAGUUGCUUUUAUAUGGUGAAAUUAUAUAAUUUUGGAUGUUCUAUAUAUAUUUAUUUGAUAUAACAUUGUGGAAUGAAAACCCUAUAUGCUCACCAGGCUCCCAAGCCUGACCCACUCAGUUUUCUUUGUAUCACAGGUAUCGAUACGAAGAUAUAUUUCACGGAGAGAUCAAAGGAGAUGUAAAAUCUUUAGUGUAAAUAAUGUAAGUUCUGUUUAUGCUUAUGUGUCUGUAUCGGAACAUGACAUCCCGAGAUUUUGUUAUAUAAUGAAAAUACAUUUCUUUAAAGAAAUGCUUUGAUAAAUCUUUAUCAUAUUUUGGGAACAAAUUCCGCAACUGUUUUCUUUAAAAGAUUACUCUGAUUUUAAAAACAAGCAUAAACAAAUCGGUCUUUUCUGGCCGUGAAAUUGGGGAUGUCACAGUUGGUAUCAGAGCAUUAGUUUAAGCGAACUAGGAAUUUGUAGGAAAUUUCUAGACUUAAACUUAGAAUGCUAAGUAAUGAUUGUGAGGAGUGUGUCUAAAAUAUGUUAGGUAGUACACCUAAAUUGACACAAGCACUAGUUUAUUUUAGGAAUGAUGCCUAAAAAGCUUUUAUGUGCUAAAUGUUUUGUGUGAUAGCUAUAUUGAUGCUAUUAUUUGUUCGGAUCUAUGGUCUGUUGCCGACCGGAUCUGGAAACCUUAUGUGUUUAGGAUUCUAAGCNGUUAGGUAGUACACCUAAAUUGACACAAGCACUAGUUUAUUUUAGGAAUGAUGCCUAAAAAGCUUUUAUGUGCUAAAUGUUUUGUGUGAUAGCUAUAUUGAUGCUAUUAUUAUUUCGGAUCUAUGGUUUGUUGCCGACCGGAUCUGGAAACCUUAUGUGUGUAGGAUUCUAAGCGUAUGACUACGAUAUUAGAACUAGCAUUUAAACGUUUCGGAGUGAUAAGGAGAUUUAAACGUUUAUCGUAAUUAAAGCUUUCUUAUCUUAAAAUUCUCGCCUGGUACACCGAACGUCUGCUUGGAUGUACAAGAGGUCAUGGUGAAGACUCGUAGAGAAAUUGAGUAAAUGGAGGAAAUGAAGAAGGCUUAUGAUAGUGGAUGACACCUAUCAGAAGAUAUCGUAAGAGUGGUAUCUUGCCUUUAGAGUAUGUCUUAUGAAAUAACAGUACAUUUAGAGGAGUACGGUACGUCUGAAGUACACCUUCGAUUGGUAGGAUGAUGGAACGAUUCAUGAAAUUCUUGAAGUUGUCUCAUCGUCUGGUAUUUCCAUCACCAAUCGAGUUGAAGUAGAAUUGAUGAUUAAAGAUAUGCAAUGAAGAAUUCCUAGUAGAGUCUAGGGAAAUUGUUUAUGAUUAUUUGGACACAUUCGUAUGUGUUAAAUUGUUUUGUGAUUUUCUUGUAUGGUGACUUGGUUGACUGCGGGACAAUACUUGGGACGAGUAUGAGUAGGUGUGAAAGGUAGUAGAUGCAUAUACUACCGGAAGCACAGGACUCGCACUUGGAUCAGGGAAAGUCACAAGGUUACCAAGAAGCUAGUAAUUGAUUCCGUUUUGUUCAAGUGUGUCAUUACCCUUGUUUCGGUAGUGACUAUUAAGAUGGUUGUUAUUUCGACCCUAGUGGUCAUAUCAAAAUUGAGUCCGAAUACGAGGAGUUUGUUACGUGGUUCAUAGAACCAAGUUCAAUGUAACAUCUGACCUAAGUCAACAGAUUGAAAUCAAUGCGAUCGAUAGCAUCGCGCUCGUUGUUAAGGAAGCUUGUAGCUAGAAAUGCUACAUGUAAAAAAAAUGUGAUUAUAUCACAUUAGAAUAUGAAGGAAGGUAUAUUCCAUUCGGGAAUUUGACUCUAAGAGACUUGAGUCUAAGCGUUGCAUCAUACGAUGAGAGGUCAUUAGAACAUGACACAUCGAUCUAUUGCAAUAGAGGAAUGAAAGUACUUAUCCUAAGAAGAAGGAGUCCUCAAUAAAGAUUUAUUUUGUUACUCGGAAGUUAUGAUUGAAAGUAUAACAUAGUACGAUAAGCAGAUGCAAGAUUGGGCAACGUCUGUGGUCAAGAAAGCCACAGAGUUAAAUACUCUAUCGAGGAAACAUAGAAGUUACGGUUAUUACCUAGGAUGAAGAGAUAACGUGUGGAAUCAUUAUGCAAGCCAUAUUUCGUUGAUGAUUCCGGGACGUAAUCAUCCUAAGGGGGAGAUAAUUGUAACGCCCGUAGAUCCGGGCUAGUCAAUUUAGAGACGAUAAGCAUCAAAAAUGACUUUUUGAUGGAAGAUUAUUUAGAAGGAUUAAUCUUAACCAAGUUGUAGUAUAUGUCACAAGGUUUCCGUGCAUAUAAAGAACGCCAAAAUCCGAGUUAUAACGAAGAAGUUAUUACCUGUCGAAGUUUCGCGACAGAAUCGGCAUGACCCAGCGCGACCCAACGCGACGUAAAUAGUGAAUUUAAGGUAGAUAGAUAUCUAUCCUUAGCGAUCUAAAUAAUAAUUGAAGAUCUCAUCAAUAGUAGUCCAGCGAUAAAAAGACAGACAAAAACUGAGUUCAGAUGAAGGAGUUGUGAGUUUAUAACGGAGUUUUCCUGUCCCGGCCUACUAAAGAUAAUAUAUAAGUAAUAUACUUAUAAUAUAUUAAAAAUAAAGUCAAAAUUAGCCAAUGGAGUCUAAACAAGAGUUGUAGAGCAUAAUCUCACCUUCGCGUCGAUAUAAAGAACGUCGAAAAUGGAGUUCGUAUGCGAAAGUUAUGAAUUUCUGAAGUUCGGGGCGCGAAACCCCAAAACUGUCAGAGACCACGACGUGGCAAGCAGUGCCACGACGUGGCAAGUCUCCUGACAGCUCCGGGAGUCCCCCAGAUGCAACUUGGGAUGACGCAUGCAGUGACGAUCAAGCCCACGACGUGGCAAAAGGAUCCCACGACGUGGCAAGGGCCAAAUUUGCCCUAUAAAUAGAUUUGAAGGGCCAGCCGACUAUGGUUGCUCCAUCCCUUCUCUCCCACUCCCGAUACACCCUCUAAGCCCUAUUUUAACCCCCCGAAGCCCCGGUAUCAACCCCGAGACCCGAAGCAAGUCCCGAAGCACCGAAGAUCCCGAGAAGAAAAGAGUUUCCGAGCCGAAGCUCUGCCCGCGAGAAACCCGGUGUGUGAAGUGAUCCCGGUUUCACCGAAGAAUACUAUUUCUACAAGCCGUAGUGUUGUCCGAUCAUCUUCUGAUCAUGUGAGUGUAUACUACCUUUCAUAAACACGAUUAUAAUACAAGUAUUGUUUGAAUGUAUUAAGUAUAUGUUUGGUGUGAGUGUAUAGUCACUUUCGUCUUACACAUAGAUAUGAAGUAUUUUAUAAAAUACGUGCUAUGUGUAUAUAUAUAGUUGUUUAUAUGUGUGAGUGUGUGGUCACUUUCUUCUAACACAUAAAUAUUAAGUAUUUGCUAUGAAAUAUGUGCUAUGUGUUUAUAUAUUGUUGUUUAUUUGAGAUGUUGGUGGAAUACAUGAACUAUAUAGGUUUUAAUGAGUUGAACUGUAUAUUUAUUUUGUAACUACAAAUAUGUUGGGUAGGACAUGGGUAGAUGAGAUCCGUGAGUAUGGAUCAGAUCAAGAUUAGUGUAUAGUUAAUUGUCCCUAUUCCGGGAGUAUGGAAUGGGUACAAUUAUUGAUCCGGGAGAAUGGAUCAGAUCCGGAGGUUAGUUUUAGAUCAGUGAGUAUGGAUCAGGGGAAAAGGUUAGUUUUAGAUCCAUGAGUAUGGAUCAGGCUAAAAGGUUAGUUUUAGAUUCGUGAGUAUGGAUCAGGUAGUUUUAGAUCCAUGAGUAUGGAUCAGGGGAAAAGGUUAGUUUUAGAUCCGUGAGUAUGGAUCAGGUUAAAAGGUUAGUUUUAGAUCCGUGAGUAUGGAUCAGGUAGUUUUAGAUUCGUGAGUAUGGAUCAGGUUAAAAGGUUAGUUUUAGAUCCGUGAGUAUAGAUUAGAUCAAAAGAUUGGAUUUAGAUCCGAGAAUGUGGAAUAGGAAAAGAGAUAAACUUGUUAUUAAUCCGGGAGUAUGGAUUAAGACAUAGUUAAUUGUCCCUAGUCCGGGAAUAUGGAUUAGGCACAGUUUAGAUCCGGGAGUAUGGAUUAGAGCAGGAUUUAGGUAUAGUAAAUUGUCCCUAGUCCGGGAGUACGAAUUGGGCACAAUUUUGGAUCCGGGAGUAUGGAUCAGACCAAUAGGUAAACUUGUUAUUAAUCCGGGAGUAUGGAUUAAGACAUAGUUAAUUGUCCCUAGUCCGGGAGUAUGGAUUUGGCAUAGUUUUGGAUCCGGGAGUAUGGAUCAGACCAAUAGGUAAACUUGUUAUUAAUCCGAGAGUAUAGAUUAAGACAUAGUUAAUUGUCCCUAGUCCGGGAGUAUGGAUCAGACCAAUAGGUAAACUUGUUAUUAAUCUGGGAGUAUGAAUUAAGACAUCGUUAAUUGUCCCUAGUCCGAGAGUAUGGAUUGGCUACAGUUUUAGAUCCGGGAGUAUGGAUCAGACCAAUAGGUAAACUUGUUAUUAAUUUGGGAGUAUGGAUUAAGACAUAGUUAAUUGUCCCUAGUCCGGGAGUAUGGAUUGGGCAUAGUUUUAGAUCCGGGAGUAUGGAUCAGACCAAGAGAUUAGUUUAGAUCCGGGAGUAUGGAUUAGACCAAGAGGUUAGCUUUAGGUCCGAGAGUCUGGAUCAGGUGGAGAGAUUAUAUUAGAUCCGUGAGUAGGGAUCAGAUAAAGAGGAAAAGUUUAGAUACGAGAGUUUAGAUCGUGUUGUUGUGAGGAUCGAUGGGGUGGGAUAAGAGUUGCUUUUAUAUGGUGAAAUUAUAUAAUUUUGGAUGUUCUAUAUAUAUUUAUAUGAUAUAACAUUGUGGAAUGAAAACCCUAUAUGCUCACCAGGCUCCCAAGCCUGACCCACUCAGUUUUCUUUGUAUCACAGGUAUCGAUACGAAGUUAUAUUUCACAAAGAGAUCAAAGGAGAUGUAAAAUCUUUAGUGUAAAUAAUGUAUGUUCUGUUUAUGCUUAUGUGUCUGUAUCGGAACAUGACAUCCCGAGAUUUUGUUAUAUAAUAAAAAUACAUUUCUUUAAAGAAAUGCUUUGAUAAAUCUUUAUCAUAUUUUGGGAACAAAUUCCACAACUGUUUUCUUUAAAAGAUUACUCUGAUUUUAAAAACAAGCAUAAGCAAAUCGGUCUUUUCUGGCCGUGAAAUUGGGGAUGUCACAAGCAGUAACUUGAAAAUUUUCCAAGCAGGAAACCGUAGCUGAUUCAACGUGUGAGGGGUGGUCGAUUUCUUGGGCUUAGGAUAGGCUUAGAAUUCAUCCAAGAGCUUAUUAAUUAGGGUAUUGGAUUACUUAGAGCCUAAGUUAUCCAAUUAGGGUUUAAGGCUAAAACCCCAGGAGCCUCACUAGUAUAAAUAGACCCUAAGGGUCAAGGGAAUCGGCACCUAUACUCUAAAAAGAAACCCUGGCCGAUUCUUGAUCCUCUAUCCUCUCUCUCAAAUCAUCCUCUUGCUAGUUGGUGUUUGUAAGCCAUUAGAGGAGUGACAAUUGCGACUCUAAAGCUCCAAGGACAAGAAGAUCAAGCAAGUGAUUCAAGGUAAUCUUCUAAUUCUGAUUUCUUAUUGUUUUUAUACUCUAUUAGCCAUUAGAAGUCUUGGAUUCAGUGCGUGUUCAAUUAGAGAAACCUAGAUCCAAGCAUUAGGGUUUGCAUGUGCACAUAGGAAUGUUCAUAUGGCUUAAACCCAUCAAAAAUAUUCUCGCUUCUCUAAAAAUACCUGUUAAUGAUUAUGAAAAGGAAUUAAAUUACUUAACGUCAAAAUUCUCAAGCAUAAGUACCAGUCUCACCCAAACCUGUGUCACAAAUUCUAACCUAACUGAUCAAAUCAGCAUGAUUUCUUCAAAGAGUGAGGAACGAAGAAUGUGGAUCGAGCAAAAGGAAAAGGAGUUAAUUAGAUGUAAAGAUGAUUCUAUUUAUUUACAGAGAGAUAAUCUUAAACUUCUCAAAUAGAGAAAUGUUUUUUUGUUUAAUUGCUAAGAGACUCUAUUUGAACAUCACUCAGUUGUAUCUUGAUUGUGAAAUAGGGAGGAAAAUACAACGUAUGAUUUUACCUUUCCUUGAAUUAAAGGACGCUGAAAUCGAUGCCGAAGCAUACAACUGUGAAAGUGUCGUAUCUUCUGACGAAGUGUCUCCAGCAUAUAAAAUAGGUCUAGACAAAAUUGAAUCCUACAUAAAGUCCAAGGACCACAUGGACAUGCUUAAAAAUCUGUUAGAUGAAAAUGAUAGAUCGAAACUGAGAGCCGAAACUAUACAAAAAUUUGAUUCCUUGAAUGCCAAUUUAGGUUCAGAAAACAAAAUUAUUGCUGAAAAUACAUUUGAACUUAAUGAGGAUGAUGAUAUGAGUGAAAUUUUUGUAGAAGAUUUUGUAGACUAUUCUGAAUUAGCCAAAAACGAACCCAAGUCCCAUAAGAACCUAAUUUCUAAAAACUCUAUUGAGUUUGCUCGUUCCUCUACCGACAUGUCUAAAGUUCUCAAAGCUAAAGCUGUUGUGUACCAAAAGGUUCAAACUACCCCAAAUCAAGUCUACAUUGUGCCGGGAGUCACUCCACAACAAACUGCAGAGUUAACUGCUAUGGUAGAAGAAGACAAUGCUGGGGGAUGUGACGAAUUCUUCUGGUCGGCCCAAUAGACAAUGCAGAUGAGACGAAGGGUCUUUCUCAGAAAACCUCAUGGAGAGUGAAAGGUAGAUACAUACCUGAACCACUAAAUGAGCCUACAAGGUAUGUUGUGCCGAGCACAAGUGGAACCAAAGCUCCUUAAGGUGAACCAAUGCAAACCACAAGUGAAACUUCUUCAGCAAAAAGUGAAUGUUGUGCCCAUACUUCAAAACGAAAGGCCAACAUUCAUAGAAAUCCAAAAUAGGUGGGUGAUCGAAAGCAUCAAAGGAAUCUGAGAUAUAAAAAGAAUCUCUCAGAAAGAAAACGAUUUUGGAAUUCCCAAAAACCUGAUUUUGUAAGAAUAGAAAGGAAGAACAAAUCAAAAGAAAACUCAAGGAACCGAAAGAGCAGCUUCGGUCCUCACUGCAACACCAACUGAAAGAGUGGUUUCGGUCCUUCAAUCGAUAAGAUCCGAAAGGAUGGUUUUGGUUCUUCGACCAAUAGGAGCCGAAAGGGUAGUUUCGGUCCCUCGUCCUAUUACAACCGAAAGGAGAGUUUCGGUCCGUUACCCAUUAACAACCGAAAGAGUGGUUUCGGUCCGUCAUCCUACUACAACCGAAAGAUUGGUUUCAGUCCUCAUGCCUGCAAGUCUGAUCAACAAAACCGUGGAUCCAAUGUCUCUUCUAAAUCCAAAUCUCUAAAUUCCAGUCCUUCAGUCAAAAGCCCCAGUCCUCCUAAAUCAACAAAAAUUAAAGUGUUCACCAUUAAAAGAAAGGGAUGAAACAACUUUAAUUAAAUGCACAAAUAUGGUUGAUAUUUCUCUUACUAUUCCAUGUCCUGUAAAAGGCUCAUAAGGACCCAAGAAACUUUGGGUUCCUAAAUCUGCUUAAUAUUUUGCAGGUUAUACGUGACGAGCAGUUUGACGAAGAAUGGUACAUCGAUAGUGGUUGCUCACGUCACAUGACAGGAAGGAAGGAGGAACUAAGAGAGUUUCUUUCUCUCAAAGAUGGUGGUAUUGUAAAGUAUGGCAACAACUCUUUUGGAACUAUUAAAGGCUAUGGAAUGAUCACUAAUGGCGAGUUCUCUAUAAGGAAGGUAGCUUAUGUUGAAGGGCUCCAACACAACCUCAUCAGUGUAUCACAACUGGUGGUUGGUACCGGAUUAAAAGUGUCAUUCGACGAUGAAGGCUCGGAAAUUGUCGAAAAGAGCUCAAACAACAUUCUGUUGAAAUCAAAACGAAAAGGGGAAAUGUAUCCUUUGAAUCUCAAUCCUAUAAGAGGUAAACCAAUAAUAUGCUUACUCACAAAGGCUCACUCCGAUGAAAGUUGGUUAUGGCAUAGAAGACUCUCUCAUCUGAACUUCAAAGACAUCAACAAGUUGGUCUUGGGUGAUCACGUUCGAGGUCUACCAGUUCUAAAAUUCGACAAAGAACAUCUCUGUGCAACAUGUGAAAUGGGAAAGCAGAGUCGGCAGAGUCAUCCAUCUAUUAUCAAUACUAAGGUGAUAGAACCACUGGAAUUACUGCACAUUGAUCUAUGUGGUCCUUCGUCCAUCGAAAGAAUUGGGGGAAACAAAUACAUUCUGGUUAUUGUGGACGAAUUCUCGAGGUUUACAUGGAUUUUCUUUCUCAAGAAAAAGUCUGAAGCUACUCCAAAGCUCAAGCUCUUCAUUAAACAGAUCGAGACGCAACUAAGAAAGGUAGUUCGUAAUAUAAGGAGCGACAAUGGCCUGGAAUUCAAGAACAAAGACUUUGAAGAAUUUCUUGCUGAAAAAGGGACGACUCACAAUUUCUCAGCUCCCUAUACUCCACAGCAAAAUGGCAUUGUUGAAAGGAGAAAUCGGUCUUUAUGUGAAGCUGCUCGUACCAUGUUAUGCUUCGCGUCCCUGCCAUUUUAUUUCUGGGAUGAUGCAAUAGCGGCUGCAUGUUAUACUAAGAAUCGAUCAUAAUUGAAUAAACGGUUCUCAAUUACUCCUUACGAGAUCCUGAAAAAAACCAAACGUGAAAUUCUUUCAUGUGUUCGGUUCAAGAUGCUUCAUUUUCAACUCUAAAGAGAAGCGAAAUAAGUUUGAUGCUAAGGUGGAUGAAGGAAUUUUCUUAGGCUACUCCCUGAACUCCAAGGCGUAUAGAGUUCUCAAUAAACACUCAAAGAAAAUUGAAGAAACAUACUAUGUCACCUUUGACGAUAGUUAUGUUAAGAAGUUGAAACCAAUAGAAGAUGCAUCACAAGACAAAUUUCCUAAGAAUGGUCAGGUUACUAUCUUCAUCUCGAAUAUUUUAGACCAAUUCAUGUUCUUGUUUGAUGAGCCUCAAAAGGCGAUUGACUUUGAAUCAACUGCAAAAGACAACAAAGUUGAUGAUUUGAACUAAGUUAUAGAUGAUGUUGCUAGAAAGAUGGCUGAUGAUCAAUCCAAAGGAACCGAAAGUGCAGACGAAAGUGAGCCUUCUAGUGACCAUCCUACUGUCGAGGGGGAGGGUUCCUCUCCUCAUCAUGAUCAAGGAUCUUCAUUCCAGGGGGAGAACUCAUCGCCAAGUACAACAAGCUCUACUGAAAUUCCGACCAAUGAAGGGGAUACAAAUGCUGGUCCUGAACAGGAGUCAUUCUUCGAGGGCAGAACACAGUUAGUGAAGAUGACAUUUUGUCUGAACUCGAAGAAGAAAUCAAUGCUUAAUUGGAUCCUAUCUAUGAUCCAAAGUUUCCUCCCCUUGUUAAAUGGACAAAAGAUCACCCUCAAACUCAAAUUAUUGGGGAAUCCUCAGAAAAGGUGUUAACUCGCUCUCAAAUCACAGCGAAACAGGCUGCCCUAUUUUUGAAAGGCGAGUUUUGUAUGUUCAAUUCAUUCGUGUCCAAAAUUGAACCAAAGACUGUUAAUUCAACUCUUGAUCAUUUAGACUGGGUUCAAGCCAUGCAAGAUGAGUUAAAUGAGUUUGAACGAAACAAGGUAUGGCGUCUUAUUCCAACACCAAAGGAUGCUUCGGUUGUCAGUCUCAAAUGGGUAUUCAGAAACAAGAUGGACAAAGAAGGCAAUGUCAUUCGUAAUAAAGCAAGGCAGGUGGUCAAAUGAUAUUGUCAGGAAGAGGGAAUUGAUUAUGAAGAAACCUUCGCUCCUGUGGAAUCUGUUCGUAUCUUUCUUGCGUAUGCUGCUCACAAGAACUUUGAAGUCUAUCAAAUGGACGUCAAAUGUGCUUUCCUCAACGGUGAACUUGAAGAAACUGUAUAUGUUGAGCAACCGCCAGGAUUCGUGAACGAGAAGUAUCUUGAUCAUUGUUAUAUCCUUGACAAAGAUGUCUACGGCCUGAAACAAGCUCCUAGAGCAUGGUAUGAAACUCUCACUCGUUUCUUAAAAAUGUCUAAAUUCAAACAAGGUUCAGUUGACCCAACCUUCUUUCGUAAGCGAGAAGGUAACCACCUUAUGAUAGUCCAAAUUUAUGUUGAUGACAUCAUCUUUGGCUCCACGAAUCCUAGCUUAACAGCUGAAUUCCGAAAGUUGAUGGAAACUAAGUUUGAGAUGAGCUCAAUGGGUCCAAUUAAUUUCUUUCUUGGAUUGAACAUUAGACAGGGACCCGAAGGCAUUUUUAUUAAUCAGGAAGCAUAUACCAAGACUUUGCUCACCAAGUUUGGAAUGACGGGAGACUCCAAAGUAAAAGUGCCGAUGGCUUUUGGAACCAAACUCACACCAUCAUUGGAGAAACCAGUCGCUGAUACAACGCUUUAUCGACAGAUGAUCGGGUCUCUGAUGUAUCUUACCGCCAGUAGACCUGAUAUCAUGUUCUCUGUCUGUUACUGUGCUCGAUUCAAGCCAACCCACGAGAACCUCAUCUUCAAGCCAUGAAGAACAUCUUUCGCUAUCUGAAGCGAACCUCCUCUCUCGGUCUAUGGUAUCCAGCCAACUCCAGAUUCUUCGUUCAAGCAUUUUCAGAUGCUGAUCUGGGUGGAUGUGGAAUGGAUCGUAAAAGCACCACAGGAGGAUGUCAAUUUCUGGAUGGAAAAUUAGUCAGUUGGCAAUCAAAGAAACAAACCUGUGCUUCGUUAUCCACUGUAGAAGCCGGAUAUAUUGCUGCAGCAUCCUGUACAUCUCAAGUCGUAUGGAUACAAACUCAGCUCCGGGAUUAUGGAUUAAACAUGAAGAAAAUCCCGCUGUAUUGUGAUUCUGAAAGCACAAUCAGGAUUUGUCACAACCCAGUGCAACACCCGAAGACUAAGCAUAUCACACUGAGGUACCAUUUCAUCAAGGAUCACGUCGAAGAUGGUAACGUAGAAAUUCACUUCGUCAAAACUGUUGGAAUAGUGUCUAAGACUGAAACUAUAUUAGGAAAGUAUUUGACCCGAUUGAGCAUGGUCCUUUUGGGUUGCCUUCACCAUAGCAACUUGACAGGAUGAUUUAUAAUGAGAGAAGAAAUAUUGUUAAUAUAUUAUGAGAAUAAUAUAAGGAAUAAUAAUAUUAUUAUUUGAUUAAUAUAAGUCAUAAAUUAAUUAGGAAUUAAUUGUGUGACUUAAAGAGAUUAAUUGAAUAAAGGGGCAUAAACUGUCAAUUGUAUGAUGGUUGUACUUUGGGCUAUAAUCCCUUAUGGAUAAGGGGUGGACGAUUUCUAGGGCUUAGGAUAGACUUAGAAUUCACCCAAGAACUUAUCAAUUAGGGUAUUGGAUUGCUUAGAGCCUAAGUUAUCCAGUUAGGGUUUAAGGGUGAAACCCUAGGAGCCUCACUAGUAUAAAUAGACCCUAAGGGUCAAGGGAAUCGGCACCUAUGCUCUAAGAAGAAACCCUGGCCGAUUCUUGAUCCUCUCUCCUCUCUCUCAAAUCAUCCUCUUGCUAGUUGGUGUUUGUAAGCCAUUAGAGGAGUGACAAUUGUGACUCUAAAGCUCCAAGGACAAGAAGAUCAAGCAAGUGAUUCAAGGUAAUCUUCUAAUUCUGAUUUCUUAUUGUUAUUAUACUCUAUUAGCCAUUAGAAGUCUUGGAUUCAAUGUAUGUUCAAUUAGAGAAACCUAGAUCCAAGCAUUAGGGUUUGUAUGUGCACAUAGGAAUGUUCAUAUGGCUAAAACCCAUCANNNNNNNNNNNNNNNUGGUUUCUAUGAAUUGAUGCAUUGGUUGCUUGUUUGAUGCUUGCAGAAUUCGAAUUUUAUGUUUCUGUCUGAUGGAAUCGGCGAGUCCCAUAGUGGAAUGGGACACCGCAGUUGAAUGGUGUGGCAGAAAGGUGUAAUCGAACCAUGUUAGACAUGGUCCGUUCUAUGAUGAGUCGUGCUUCACUACCUAUCUCAUUCUGGGGGUAUGCCUUAGAGACUGCCGCCGACAUGCUUAACCGAGUCCCUACUAAGAAGGUUGCCAAAACACCUCACGAGAUGUGGACAGGGAAAGCUCCCUCGUUGGCACAUAUCAAGGUUUUGGGUUGCGAGGCUUUCGUAAGAAGAGAUACUCACGACAAGCUCGAACCUUGUAGUGAGCGAUGUAUUUUCAUCGGCUACCCGCAGAAAUCCUUUGGAUAUCUCUUCUAUAGACCGAAGGACAAUGUUGUCUUUGUUGCGAGGAGAGGAGUUUUCCGAGAGCGAGAAAUCAUAAGCCAAGGAGACAGUGGGAGGCAAAUCGAGCUUGAAGAGAUUCAAGAGUCGAUAGAUGAAGGAACCUCUACCGCUGGCACUCAACCCGAGGAGGAAACUCCGGU